Molecule: long non-coding RNA, 809 nt
Filed under: Citrus maxima (pomelo)
Lineage: Eukaryota; Viridiplantae; Streptophyta; Magnoliopsida; Sapindales; Rutaceae
Description: long non-coding RNA (CMAX_LNC000281)
Source: RNAcentral
AGAGAAAAAAUAGAGAGCUCGAGUAAUUUUCAGAGUUUAAAAUUAUAACUUGUGAGUUAGUGAGUGAGAGAUUGGGUGUAUUGGAAUUUUGAAAAGUGAGCUAAAAUAUUAUAAUACUUGUAAUCUUCAUAUCACUAGUAAAAUAUUUUCCUUCUGUUUUCGUUCGUGGAUGUAGGAUAAAAGCCGAACCACGUAAUUUCUGGUAUUCUCUUUUUGUGCUUGUUAUUUAUUUUAUUUCAAUUUUAUUUUAGCUGCGUGUCUGCUCACCUACCAAUUUCCUAACAGAUAAAAUAUUGAAGAAGAGCUUUCAUUACAACACCAUGUUUGGUCGCCCACAAUAUCGGUAUCAUUUGGAGGAACGAUGGAACUUGUGGUGAUACAGUGAACCAAAACGUUGGCAGUUGGCACCUCAAUAACGUUCAUGUCCUUGAGAACUGCACGCGGCUACCAUUCUUAUCAUCGUUCGUUCUUUGCAAAGACCACCGUAUCACUGUAUGAGUCAUUUGCCUAGACAGCUUAAUCACUGUUGGAACCCCAAAUCAAUAACAAUCAGCUUAUGGUUAACCUUGUGAUCAUCAACCAACUUUUCAACAUCCUCCGUGCAGUGAAGCUGCACCACGCACUAAAAAAAAAAAAAACUAGUAAUAGAUGAUAUUGAUUUUAUAAAAAAAAAAUUAUUUUAUUAUGUAAAUAUGAUAGAAUCGUGAUAGAAUUUUAGUCUAUUAAAUAAUUAACAGUGUACUUGUAAUAAAAUAUUUAUUUAUCAAGAAUUUAUGAUAUGCAUGUAAUAGAAAUUAACUCAGUCACAG